Molecule: small nuclear RNA, 161 nt
Organism: Ipomoea nil (Japanese morning glory)
Lineage: Eukaryota; Viridiplantae; Streptophyta; Magnoliopsida; Solanales; Convolvulaceae
Rfam family: U1 spliceosomal RNA
About the family: U1 is a small nuclear RNA (snRNA) component of the spliceosome (involved in pre-mRNA splicing). Its 5' end forms complementary base pairs with the 5' splice junction, thus defining the 5' donor site of an intron.
Source: Rfam
AUACUUACCUGGACGGGGUCUAUGGGUGAUCAUGAAGACCCAUGGCCUAGAUCAAUGGCUUUCAUUGCACUUUGAAAGGGCAUUGGUUUAAGGUCUGCUCAAGUAGUGGAGCCUACGUCAUAAUUUGUGACAGUGGGGGCAUGCGUUCGCGCGGUCCCUAC